GAGUUUGAUCGUGGCUCAGAACGAACGCUGGCGGCGUGCCUAACACAUGCAAGUCGCGCGAGAAAAGGGGGGCAACUCCCUGAGUAAAGCGGCGCACGGGUGAGUAACACGUAGGUAAUCUACCCUCGAGUCCAGGAUAACCUACCGAAAGGUGGGCUAAUACCGGAUAUGACCACGGGAGUCUCGGCUCCUGCGGUGAAAGGUGGCCUCUGCUUGCAAGCUACUGCUCGGAGAUGAGCCUGCGGGCCAUUAGCUAGUUGGUGAGGUAACGGCUCACCAAGGCGAUGAUGGCUAGCUGGUCUGAGAGGAUGGCCAGCCACACUGGGACUGAAACACGGCCCAGACUCCUACGGGAGGCAGCAGUGGGGGAUAUUGCGCAAUGGGCGAAAGCCUGACGCAGCGACGCCGCGUGGGUGAUGAAGGCCUUCGGGCCGUAAAGCCCUGUCGAGGGGAACGAAACGGUCUCGACCUAACACGUCGAGUCCCUGACGGUACCCCUAAACGGAAG
Molecule: ribosomal RNA, 508 nt
Filed under: uncultured delta proteobacterium
Lineage: Bacteria; Deltaproteobacteria
Description: bacterial SSU rRNA
Rfam family: Bacterial small subunit ribosomal RNA
Source: RNAcentral